CGACCUAUUCAAGAAAAAUUUUGUAAGCCGCUGGCCCUGUGCCCACGCCCGCUAGCCCCCCGCAACGGCGGGCUGGUGUGUGUCACCGUUGAUGGCCUGCAGUACUGCAAGCCCAUGUGCAACAAGGGCUACGACUUCCAGGUCCUUCGGAGGACAAGGCUGUAUGAAAAGUGCGGAAACGCCACGGGCUUUGCCUGGACCACGCAGUACAUCGGCGGGAACGAG
This is a non-coding RNA of Tinamus guttatus (white-throated tinamou), 225 nucleotides long. Lineage: Eukaryota; Metazoa; Chordata; Aves; Tinamiformes; Tinamidae. The record is from RefSeq and is a predicted model, not a curated record.